RNAcentral lists this ribosomal RNA (435 nucleotides) under uncultured bacterium. RNAcentral's name for it is "partial 16S ribosomal RNA". It matches the Rfam family "Bacterial small subunit ribosomal RNA", at positions 29 to 507 of the family's 1533-position model. The record is from RNAcentral.
AGCGAACGCUGGCGGCAGGCUUAACACAUGCAAGUCGAACGGGCAUCUUCGGAUGUCAGUGGCAGACGGGUGAGUAACACGUGGGAACGUACCCUUCGGUUCGGAAUAACUCAGGGAAACUUGAGCUAAUACCGGAUACGCCCUUUUGGGGAAAGGUUUACUGCCGAAGGAUCGGCCCGCGUCUGAUUAGCUUGUUGGUGGGGUAACGGCCUACCAAGGCGACGAUCAGUAGCUGGUCUGAGAGGAUGAUCAGCCACACUGGGACUGAGACACGGCCCAGACUCCUACGGGAAGCAGCAGUGGGGAAUAUUGGACAAUGGGCGCAAGCCUGAUCCAGCCAUGCCGCGUGAGUGAUGAAGGCCUUAGGGUUGUAAAGCUCUUUUGUCCGGGACAAUAAUGACGGUACCGGAAGAAUAAGCCCCGGCUAACUUCGUG